RNAcentral lists this ribosomal RNA (1382 nucleotides) under Bacillus pumilus. RNAcentral's name for it is "bacterial SSU rRNA". It matches the Rfam family "Bacterial small subunit ribosomal RNA". Lineage: Bacteria; Bacillati; Bacillota; Bacilli; Caryophanales; Bacillaceae. The record is from RNAcentral.
GUUUCCCAUGAUUGAGUUUAGUGAGGCAAGCGCCGCUAAAUGCAGUCGAGCGGACAGAAGGGAGCUUGCUCCCGGAUGUUAGCGGCGGACGGGUGAGUAACACGUGGGUAACCUGCCUGUAAGACUGGGAUAACUCCGGGAAACCGGAGCUAAUACCGGAUAGUUCCUUGAACCGCAUGGUUCAAGGAUGAAAGACGGUUUCGGCUGUCACUUACAGAUGGACCCGCGGCGCAUUAGCUAGUUGGUGGGGUAAUGGCUCACCAAGGCGACGAUGCGUAGCCAACCUGAGAGGGUGAUCGGCCACACUGGGACUGAGACACGGCCCAGACUCCUACGGGAGGCAGCAGUAGGGAAUCUUCCGCAAUGGACGAAAGUCUGACGGAGCAACGCCGCGUGAGUGAUGAAGGUUUUCGGAUCGUAAAGCUCUGUUGUUAGGGAAGAACAAGUGCGAGAGUAACUGCUCGCACCUUGACGGUACCUAACCAGAAAGCCACGGCUAACUACGUGCCAGCAGCCGCGGUAAUACGUAGGUGGCAAGCGUUGUCCGGAAUUAUUGGGCGUAAAGGGCUCGCAGGCGGUUUCUUAAGUCUGAUGUGAAAGCCCCCGGCUCAACCGGGGAGGGUCAUUGGAAACUGGGAAACUUGAGUGCAGAAGAGGAGAGUGGAAUUCCACGUGUAGCGGUGAAAUGCGUAGAGAUGUGGAGGAACACCAGUGGCGAAGGCGACUCUCUGGUCUGUAACUGACGCUGAGGAGCGAAAGCGUGGGGAGCGAACAGGAUUAGAUACCCUGGUAGUCCACGCCGUAAACGAUGAGUGCUAAGUGUUAGGGGGUUUCCGCCCCUUAGUGCUGCAGCUAACGCAUUAAGCACUCCGCCUGGGGAGUACGGUCGCAAGACUGAAACUCAAAGGAAUUGACGGGGGCCCGCACAAGCGGUGGAGCAUGUGGUUUAAUUCGAAGCAACGCGAAGAACCUUACCAGGUCUUGACAUCCUCUGACAACCCUAGAGAUAGGGCUUUCCCUUCGGGGACAGAGUGACAGGUGGUGCAUGGUUGUCGUCAGCUCGUGUCGUGAGAUGUUGGGUUAAGUCCCGCAACGAGCGCAACCCUUGAUCUUAGUUGCCAGCAUUCAGUUGGGCACUCUAAGGUGACUGCCGGUGACAAACCGGAGGAAGGUGGGGAUGACGUCAAAUCAUCAUGCCCCUUAUGACCUGGGCUACACACGUGCUACAAUGGACAGAACAAAGGGCUGCAAGACCGCAAGGUUUAGCCAAUCCCAUAAAUCUGUUCUCAGUUCGGAUCGCAGUCUGCAACUCGACUGCGUGAAGCGGAAUCGCUAGUAAUCGCGAUCAGCAGUUCCCCCUGACAAAAUAAACCGGCUUUCUU